UACAGCUAUAUCACCUUGAAACCCUGGUUCCCAUAUGAUCACUGAAGUUGAGCAACAUCAAGCAUGGUCAGUACUUAGAUGGGUGACCACCACUUAGGAUGCCAAGUGCUGUAA
Non-coding RNA from Acanthosepion pharaonis, 114 nucleotides. Lineage: Eukaryota; Metazoa; Mollusca; Cephalopoda; Sepiida; Sepiidae. The record is from the annotation of a GenBank genome assembly.